GACGAACGCUGGCGGCGUGCUUAACACAUGCAAGUCGAACGGUGAAGCUCCAGCUUGCUGGAGUGGAUCAGUGGCGAACGGGUGAGUAACACGUGAGCAACCUGCCCCUGACUCUGGAAUAAGCGCUGGAAACGGCGUCUAAUAUUGGAUACGAGAAGGGUCCGCAUGGGCACUUUCUGGAAAGUUUUUCGGUUGGGGAUGGGCUCGCGGCCUAUCAGCUUGUUGGUGAGGUAAUGGCUCACCAAGGCGACGACGGGUAGCCGGCCUGAGAGGGCGACCGGCCACACUGGGACUGAGACACGGCCCAGACUCCUACGGGAGGCAGCAGUGGGGAAUAUUGCACAAUGGGCGAAAGCCUGAUGCAGCGACGCCGCGUGAGGGAUGACGGCCUUCGGGUUGUAAACCUCUUUCAGCAGGGAAGAAGCGAAAGUGACGGUACCUGCAGAAGAAGCACCGGCUAACUACGUG
This 468-nucleotide ribosomal RNA is filed under the name uncultured bacterium. RNAcentral's name for it is "partial 16S ribosomal RNA". It matches the Rfam family "Bacterial small subunit ribosomal RNA", at positions 28 to 507 of the family's 1533-position model. The record is from RNAcentral.